UACGAAGGGGGCUAGCGUUGCUCGGAAUCACUGGGCGUAAAGCGCCCGUAGGCGGCUUUCUAAGUCAGGGGUGAAAUCCUGGAGCUCAACUCCAGAACUGCCUUUGAUACUGGAGAGCUUGAGUCCGGGAGAGGUGAGUGGAACUCCGAGUGUAGAGGUGAAAUUCGUAGAUAUUCGGAAGAACACCAGUGGCGAAGGCGGCUCACUGGCCCGGUACUGACGCUGAGGUGCGAAAGCGUGGGGAGCAAACAGG
This 253-nucleotide ribosomal RNA is filed under the name uncultured bacterium. Its description in RNAcentral is "partial 16S ribosomal RNA". It matches the Rfam family "Bacterial small subunit ribosomal RNA", at positions 524 to 776 of the family's 1533-position model. The record is from RNAcentral.